Molecule: ribosomal RNA, 321 nt
Filed under: Malassezia sympodialis
Lineage: Eukaryota; Fungi; Basidiomycota; Malasseziomycetes; Malasseziales; Malasseziaceae
Description: LSU rRNA
Rfam family: Bacterial large subunit ribosomal RNA
Source: RNAcentral
UAUUUUGAUAUUGUUUUCCAUUGAAUAUAGUGUAGAAUACAAGGGAGUGUAAACGUCAGUGAAAUACCUUGAUAUAUUAUAAUGGAAAACUAACUCAGUAGAGGACAGUUUCAAAUGGUCAGUUUUGCUGGGGCGGUAGCCUCUAAAAAAGUAUCAGAGGCCUUCAAAGGUAUAUUUAUAUUGGUCAGAAACCAAUGGAAGAAUAAUUCCAACAAAGUGUAAUAAUCAAAUAUGCUUUACUGAAAGAUUGAUGGAUCGAUCAGUUACGCAAGUAGGAUAUAGUGAUCCGGUGAUCCAGAAUGGAAUGAUCAUCGCUCAAGA